CCAUGCCUUAGCCUUCUUCAUCCACCCCUUUUUAAUCAUUUUUGUGUGUGAGAAGUGUUCCUGAUUUUUUCGAGCUCCCGGAUCCUGGUGGCGUCAAAAGGUGAACUUCAUGUAGACGGUGAUCAGAAUCUAUCCAUACAAAACAUCUGUAUAUAAAUCACAGAUGUUGUGAACGAGUGAGAAUUGGCUAUAUGUGGAGGCGGCUCAACGAUUCAUCACUAAAUGGUGGUCCUCAAAUCAUUGGCUCAUCUAUAUUCAAAAUUUCGACUUUCAAAAUAAAGGUGUACUCUACCCAAUUCUUAACAUGUUUCUGUGAUUAUUUGUUUUAUUAGUGUAUAUAAUUUCGUAUGUUUUAGAGUUUUGUCGUAAGAUCUCGGAUUUUCUUACUUUUUGUUUUAUGUUCUGGAGGUGUGUUUUUGUUUUAAUUUUGUCUUUUGAUUUAUCCAGAAGAUGAGAUCGUUGGUGAGUUUCAGUCAAACUUAU
Molecule: long non-coding RNA, 483 nt
Filed under: Daucus carota (carrot)
Lineage: Eukaryota; Viridiplantae; Streptophyta; Magnoliopsida; Apiales; Apiaceae
Description: long non-coding RNA (DCAR_LNC003326)
Source: RNAcentral